GCGUCAUUAGCUCAGUUGGCUAGAGUAGCGGACUCUUAAUCCGUGGGUCCAGGGUUCGAAUCCCUGAUGACGCA
RNAcentral lists this transfer RNA (74 nucleotides) under Caudoviricetes sp. RNAcentral describes it as "tRNA-Lys". It matches the Rfam family "tRNA". Rfam says of the family: Transfer RNA (tRNA) molecules are approximately 80 nucleotides in length. The record is from RNAcentral. Lineage: Duplodnaviria; Heunggongvirae; Uroviricota; Caudoviricetes.